GACACCAACUAGAGUGUGAUCAUUUCAAAGGUUGGGACUCAUUGUACACAACACCAAAACUCAACAUGUCAAGGGGUAUUAUUGCAUUAAUUCUGUUACUGCACUGGAGCCAAGACACUGAGGGUGCAGAUGAUGUUAUUCAAAAGCCUGAAAUGAUUUGGAAACCAAAGAGUGGUUCUGCUUCUUUGAACUGCAGUCACAAUAAGGGUAGUUCAUACUACCAGAUGUACUGGUACCGACAACGUCCAGGAGAGACUAUGCAGCUCAUUGUAUUCCAUACGACUGAUAAAGCAGAGUUUGGAGAUGUUGAUGAGAAGAAAUUUGAUGCUCAAAAAAGUGAUGCUGAAAGUGGAUCUUUGAAAGUGAAAGAUCUAAAGCCUGAAGACAGUGGCAUAUAUUUCUGUGCAGUGAGUGAACACAGUGUGUCAAAGGCUGGAGAGUGCUGUACAAAAACAUUACUGCAUAAAAAGAUCAGUGAUAGUAUGAGUCAACAGGUGGCAGUCUGGUACCACCAAUAUGCCACAUGUCAAAACAAUCGAGCUGAAAUGAAACAAUUAGAAAUAUCAUGGGUCCAAGUAACAGUUUAUUGA
Molecule: non-coding RNA, 590 nt
Organism: Labeo rohita (rohu)
Lineage: Eukaryota; Metazoa; Chordata; Actinopteri; Cypriniformes; Cyprinidae
Source: the annotation of a RefSeq genome assembly